RNAcentral lists this ribosomal RNA (539 nucleotides) under Thielaviopsis populi. RNAcentral's name for it is "LSU rRNA". It matches the Rfam family "Eukaryotic large subunit ribosomal RNA", at positions 44 to 591 of the family's 3401-position model. Lineage: Eukaryota; Fungi; Ascomycota; Sordariomycetes; Microascales; Ceratocystidaceae. The record is from RNAcentral.
CAAUAAGCGGAGGAAAAGAAACCAACAGGGAUUGCCCUAGUAACGGCGAGCGAAGCGGCAACAGCUCAAAUUUGAAAUCUGGCUACUUUGUAGUCCGAGUUGUAAUUUGUAGAGGAUGCUUUUGGUGAGGUGCCUUCCGAGUUCCCUGGAACGGGACGCCAGAGAGGGUGAGAGCCCCGUACGGUUGGAUACCAAACCUUUGUAUAGCUCCUUCGACGAGUCGAGUAGUUUGGGAAUGCUGCUCUAAAUGGGAGGUAUAUCUCUUCUAAAGCUAAAUAUAGGCUAGAGACCGAUAGCGCACAAGUAGAGUGAUCGAAAGAUGAAAAGCACUUUGAAAAGAGAGUUAAACAGCACGUGAAAUUGUUGAAAGGGAAGCGCCUAUGACCAGACUUGUUUCUUUCAGUUUUGUUAGUUUUCGGACUGAUUUACUCUGUUAGUACAGGCCAGCAUCAGUUUGUUGUCGGGGAGAAAGGCUCAGGGAAUGUGGCUUCUUCGGGAGUGUUAUAGCCCUUUGCAUAAUACCCUUCGGCAGACUGAGG